AGUGAACGCUGGCGGUAGGCCUAACACAUGCAAGUCGAACGGCAGCACAGUAAGAGCUUGCUCUUACGGGUGGCGAGUGGCGGACGGGUGAGGAAUACAUCGGAAUCUACUUUUUCGUGGGGGAUAACGUAGGGAAACUUACGCUAAUACCGCAUACGACCUACGGGUGAAAGCAGGGGAUCUUCGGACCUUGCGCGAUUGAAUGAGCCGAUGUCGGAUUAGCUAGUUGGCGGGGUAAAGGCCCACCAAGGCGACGAUCCGUAGCUGGUCUGAGAGGAUGAUCAGCCACACUGGAACUGAGACACGGUCCAGACUCCUACGGGAGGCAGCAGUGGGGAAUAUUGGACAAUGGGCGCAAGCCUGAUCCAGCCAUACCGCGUGGGUGAAGAAGGCCCUCGGGUUGUAAGCCCUUUUGUUGGGAAAGAAAAGCAGCAGGUUAAUACCCCGCUGUUCUGACGGUACCCAAAGAAUAAGCACCGGCUAACUUCGUG
RNAcentral lists this ribosomal RNA (491 nucleotides) under uncultured bacterium. RNAcentral describes it as "partial 16S ribosomal RNA". It matches the Rfam family "Bacterial small subunit ribosomal RNA", at positions 29 to 507 of the family's 1533-position model. The record is from RNAcentral.